Molecule: non-coding RNA, 30 nt
Filed under: Homo sapiens (human)
Lineage: Eukaryota; Metazoa; Chordata; Mammalia; Primates; Hominidae
Source: RNAcentral
UGAGAAGGAAGGAGAGUCAUAGUGCUGCCU